UAUCUCUAAGUAGGGGCUGACAUCCCAAGCAACACGACAUUGCUGUGAAGAUGACAUACGACCAUGACAUACGACCAACUCCUGGCUGGAAGGCAAGGUGGCGCCCACCCCACUGUCUCAGCAGCUUUGUCCUCCUUCCCUGGAAUCUGCUAGGAGUCACAGAAGGAGGGCAUUGAUGGACAGGGCAGAUAAGGACCUUGGGAAUAGCUGCCGGCCAGCUUGCCUGCCUUCAUAGCUGAAACCCGACCCUGAGAGGCCGAGCGAGGAGGCAACUACAGCUCCACUUUCUGAACGGGCUCCCAGCGUGGGUCACUCAUGGAUGACCACUGACAUAACCAGCUGGGACGGGUUGGGGGGGGUGGAAAGGCCCUGAGUCUGCUGAGCUGCUGCCCAAAUAUGGGCAUCCAAGCCUUCCCUUUGGUCCCUCCAGCUUCAUGCAGGAAGACCUAACUACCCAGUGGGACUUGGGACUGGCGGUGUGGCUCAGUGACGGGCACUUAUUCAGUACAACACACUUGUCCAUGCUUAGCACUGCAAAACAAAGUCAACAAAAAGCCGAGAGCAAGAUCAGCCCAGAUCAAAAUGCAAUAUGGACCCCGAGACUCCAGCAAACACCCAAACCUUUCUGUUGCAGUGCUCAGGCUAGGGGAGAGAAGCCAUAGCAGUGCCCACACGGACAUGGAUUUUCACACCAACCUGAAAAUCCAAGCUUCCAGGCUGCCAACCAACUUGGACGGUGUGUUAAUGGAGGUGUUUGUCUGAGCCCCAAGCAUGAGAGGUUGCUUUUGGUCACCGUGUUUCAUCACAGCGGUAGUGAGGUAACAAGACAGACAGGUAUCUGGAGCUUUGGAGCGGCUAACCUCAUCCCUGGAGUGGCUGUUUCAACAAAGAUCCAAGAAGAAUGAAAGAAAACUGAGCAAAUCUUCAGGAAGGGCACUGAUAGUUCAUUCCAAGUCGAACCUAGUGAACCAAUGAGUUUGCUGGAGAAGCAUGGGCAGCUGCAUCACCAAAACACCUACCCCAGCGUUUGUGAUAAAACCUACCCAGUGUGCGUGAUAAAACAACUCACGAAAGCUGUCUACCUAGAGUUCCUUGACCAACUUACAGGCAGGUCCACCAGUCUUCCCAGUGUGGGUUGGUUCUUUUUGUUUGUUUUUGGUUUUUGC
Microtus ochrogaster (prairie vole) is the source of this 1166-nucleotide long non-coding RNA. RefSeq lists it as uncharacterized. The record is from RefSeq and is a predicted model, not a curated record. The transcript has 3 exons. NCBI's taxonomy places the organism in Eukaryota, Metazoa, Chordata, Mammalia, Rodentia, Cricetidae.